This 497-nucleotide ribosomal RNA is filed under the name uncultured bacterium. RNAcentral describes it as "partial 16S ribosomal RNA". It matches the Rfam family "Bacterial small subunit ribosomal RNA", at positions 28 to 507 of the family's 1533-position model. The record is from RNAcentral.
GAUGAACGCUGGCGGCGUGCCUAAUACAUGCAAGUCGAGCGAACAGAUAAGGAGCUUGCUCCUUUGACGUUAGCGGCGGACGGGUGAGUAACACGUGGGUAACCUACCUAUAAGACUGGUAUAACUCCGGGAAACCGGGGCUAAUGCCGGAUAACAUUUAGAACCGCAUGGUUCUAAAGUGAAAGAUGGUUUUGCUAUCACUUAUAGAUGGACCCGCGCCGUAUUAGCUAGUUGGUAAGGUAACGGCUUACCAAGGCAACGAUACGUAGCCGACCUGAGAGAGUGAUCGGCCACACUGGAACUGAGACACGGUCCAGACUCCUACGGGAGGCAGCAGUAGGGAAUCUUACGCAAUGGGCGAAAGCCUGACGGAGCAACGCCGCGUGAGUGAUGAAGGUCUUCGGAUCGUAAAACUCUGUUAUUAGGGAAGAACAAAUGUGUAAGUAACUGUGCACGUCUUGACGGUACCUAAUCAGAAAGCAACGGCUAACUACGUG